This is a long non-coding RNA of Aquila chrysaetos chrysaetos, 2038 nucleotides long. RefSeq lists it as uncharacterized. The record is from RefSeq and is a predicted model, not a curated record. The transcript is spliced from 5 exons. NCBI's taxonomy places the organism in Eukaryota, Metazoa, Chordata, Aves, Accipitriformes, Accipitridae.
UAAAUUUUUUUUUUUCACAGAUCACAAAAGACUUUAACAGCUUUUUUUAAUAAAUAUGGCUCCUACAAAUGCAAUACUACUUCACUGGCACUGCUGUCUGAAUCUCCAUGUGCCUCUGAGCAAUAAUCCUCUGCUGAAGAUCAAGAACCUCAGCUACGGUCCUGAUCCAGCAAACAAUGUAAGUACGAGUUUAAAAAGUGUACUGCAGGUUGUGUCAUCCCCUCUGGACUUCAGGAAGGGGCUGAGCACUCACAGGUCUUGUGGAUCUAAAGAGGAGCUUGACAUACUUUGCACAAUCUCUUUUCUGAUGGCUCAAGACAUGCAGGCUGAUCUUAUUACCACAUUCUCAGGAAGCAUGAGACACCACUGAAACAAAAUGCAUCUGCCUGGUGAGCCAGGGAGCAGCAAUGUGGUCCGUGCCUCCCACACCACAGCCCACUUCUACAGAGGUUUGGCCAAGCUCUCAUUCCUGGUUAUUGUGUUUUAGGCACCUACUGUAUCCAGCUGCACUGGAGGCACAGCUCCCUCAUCUCUGCAGGGUCAGAGGAGCCUAAGGAGACCAUGCCACGUUGGAGUUGGUUGGUGUGAAAAACCCUCUUGGUGACCGCAGGAGAGUCAAAUGAGGGGUCUGAGGAAUUUGGAGGUGUCCAUAGGAGAGCUGUGGAGGAAGGGGAAUGAGCAGUGAUGGGCAGGGCUUGCCAGGGAUGGUGAGCAGCUGCCACCAGCAUGAAGGAGCCAGUGGGAGCUGGAAGCUCCGUGACAGCACUGGGAUGGUCACAAGCAAAUAUCGCAGCAAGAUAAUUGGGAAAACAAGAUCUCCAAGAAGAAGCUGUGAAUGGGUCGUCUCUGCAUCCUGGCCAGAGGGACAACAGCAUGUCAAGGUUGCCACAUCCUGCAACCUAGUGAGAAGUUAAUCUAUUUUUUGUGAGGAGAAGUGCGGUAUCUGCGAGGGGUCCCAGUUUCUAUCCCCUUCGCGGGCACUGGCACCAGUAUGCUCUUCCAGCUGGACAUCCCUCCUUCCUCUUCCCCCCUGCAGACUCCUCUCCUCCCGGGAUGGCUUCCUCCCCCCAUGGCAAGUACCUCCUUGUUGGCUCUUUUUCUCUACCCCUAAAUUAAAUUAUGCUUGUUGAUUAAGUGUAAAAUUAAAUACAAUCUGUAGUAAAUAAAUCUCUGUCAUUAGCCCAUUCGUGCGGGUUUUUUUUCCCAGUCGUACUGAAAUAAAUAGCAGUCUGGCCACUGAAAUUGGUGAGGGCCCCUUUACAUCUAACUUUGUGUUAUUAUUUCUAUUGUGGCAACUGUAAUUUCUGUAGGAUUUCACUCUGUAAAACAGAUUGCUGGAUUUCUCCGGUACAGGGGAACCAAUGAAUGACUGAACUAUGAACCACAGACCCAGCUAGGCUGGUAUCUGACUGCUGCAGAUGUGGGCUGGAAAAUUAUUGCAGCUGAGUUGAGCCAGGCAAAGAUUCAUAUAGUUUAGUCCAUGCUGAUUAAAUAAAUAUUUUUCCAGUGACAUUUUACAUUGCACAAGCAAUCUGGUCUCUUCGAAGUUCCAAGAAACACUAAUCGUAAAGGGGCUGUAAGACUCUUUAUUAACAAUUUAAUUUCUCUAGGGUAUUUAAUUCAGAGCCUUUUAAUACUGUGUUUGACCUUUCCUUUCCUGCAAAGUUAUUUAAUACUGCUCCUAAAACUGAUUUUUGGGACACGGCACUCAACCUUUUUUUUUUCUGACUGUGAAAGGCAGCUUAUUCCCGUUCUUUGUUUCCAGAAGCCAUCUUGGAGUUCACAGGCAAGAGCCUCAAAUCUUCAGAAGUAAUUCUCUCCAGUUUACUAAUGUACAUACUUAAGCCCCAGUCUGCCUAGAGAAAUAUAGUCAGAAUGAACUAAAACACACAAAUGAAAUUACCUAGCAUUUGACAUUCCCUAUGCCUGGUGUUUAAAUGAGGUCAUGUGAAAUUUGAGCUGUAGUAAAAUGUCUAUUUAGAUCAAAUAGACCAAAAUUUACAUUUCCUUCAGAUUUGUUUCCAAUAAAUUUCAUGUU